UGCCCAGCAACUCCUAUCCCUACCUUCUCGUGGUGCUGGCCGGGGUACGAGUAACCUUAGAGAAGA
Molecule: non-coding RNA, 66 nt
Organism: Aedes aegypti (yellow fever mosquito)
Lineage: Eukaryota; Metazoa; Arthropoda; Insecta; Diptera; Culicidae
Source: Rfam